UACAGAGGGUGCGAGCGUUAAUCGGAGUUACUGGGCGUAAAGGGCGCGUAGGCGGUUGUAUAUGUGUGAUGUGAAAGCCCCGGGCUUAACCUGGGAAGUGCAUCGCAAACUGUAUAACUGGAGUACAAGAGAGGGUGGCGGAAUUUCCGGUGUAGCGGUGAAAUGCGUAGAGAUCGGAAGGAACGUCGAUGGCGAAGGCAGCCACCUGGCUUGAUACUGACGCUGAGGCGCGAAAGCGUGGGGAGCGAACAGG
RNAcentral lists this ribosomal RNA (253 nucleotides) under uncultured bacterium. RNAcentral describes it as "partial 16S ribosomal RNA". It matches the Rfam family "Bacterial small subunit ribosomal RNA", at positions 524 to 776 of the family's 1533-position model. The record is from RNAcentral.